This 490-nucleotide ribosomal RNA is filed under the name uncultured bacterium. RNAcentral's name for it is "bacterial SSU rRNA". It matches the Rfam family "Bacterial small subunit ribosomal RNA", at positions 36 to 518 of the family's 1533-position model. The record is from RNAcentral.
CUGGCGGCGCGUUUAAGCAUGCAAGUCGAGCGGCAAGGGCCGUCGGGCCCUAGAGCGGCGGACGGGUGAGUAACACGUGGACAAUCUGCCCCCGGCCCGGGAUAGCCCAGGGAAACCUGGAUUAAUACCGGAUGAGACGGGACCCGCGAUGGCGGGAUCCGGGAAAGGCGCUGCGGCGCCGCCGGGGGAUGAGUCUGCGUCCCAUUAGCUGGACGGCGGGGUAACGGCCCACCGUGGCGACGAUGGGUAGCCGGCCUGAGAGGGUGGACGGCCACAUUGGAACUGAGACACGGUCCAGACUCCUACGGGAGGCAGCAGCUAAGAAUCUUCCGCAAUGGGCGAAAGCCUGACGGAGACGACGCCGCGUGAACGAAGAAGGCCGUGAGGUUGUAAAGUUCUUUUCGGGAGGGGGAACAACCGUGGCAGGGAAUGGCCGCGGGAUGACGUGAAUCCCGGAAUAAGCCCCGGCUAACUACGUGCCAGCCGCGGC